CGGCUAGACGGAAAGACCCCGUGCACCUUUACUACACCUUUAAAUUGUUAGUAAAAAACCAAUGUAUAGGAUAAGUGUGAGUUGUUGAUACCUAAACGCAAGUUUAUUGUGGAGACGCCCUUGGAAUAGCACUCUUUGUGUUUUUUCUAACUAAUUUGUAUAUACAAAGACAGUUUAUGGUUGGUAGUUUUGCUGGGGCGGCAACCUCCUAAAGAGUAACGGAGGCAUACAAAGGUAGGCUCAAGAUAGUGUUAUACUAUCUGUAGAGUAUAAUGGCAUAAGCCUGCUUGACUGAAAGAUCGACAGAUCAAACAGGGACGAAAGUCGGUCAUAGUGAUCCAAUGGUUCUGAGUGGAAAGGCCAUUGCUCAAUGGAUAAAAGGUACGCCGGGGAUAACAGGCUAAUCACUCCCGAGAGAUCUUAUCGACGGAGUGGUUUGGCACCUCGAUGUCGAAUCAUCACAUCCUGGAGCUGAACAAGGUUCCAAGGGUUAGGCUGUUCGCCUAUUAAAGUGGUACGUGAUUUGGGUUCAGAACGUCGUGAGACAGUUUGGCCCCUAUCUACCGUUAGUGGAGAGGAUUGAGGAAUGCUUUUUCUUGUACGAGAGGACCGAAAAGGCCAUACCAAUGGUGUACCGGUUGUUAAGCCAAUGGCAUCGCCGGGUAGCUACGUAUGAAAAUUAUAACCACAGAAAGCAUCUAAGUGGGAAGAGAAUUCCAAAAAGUAUCCUCAAGGACCGUACUAGACUAGUACGUGGAUAGGCUAAGUGUGUAAGUGUUGCAAAGCAUUGAGCAAAUUAGUACUAAUUGUCCGGUAUCUU
This 820-nucleotide ribosomal RNA is filed under the name Sexangularia sp. CB-2014. RNAcentral describes it as "partial Bacterial large subunit ribosomal RNA". It matches the Rfam family "Bacterial large subunit ribosomal RNA", at positions 2073 to 2925 of the family's 2925-position model. The record is from RNAcentral. Lineage: Eukaryota; Tubulinea; Elardia; Arcellinida.